AGGGACCUGCGGCGGCUUCAGUAGCCUGCGGGAGGGGAGGCAGCGUGCUCCGGCCAUUUUCAGCUCGGGUGGAGCUAAGUUUGGAAUCUGUAACCUGGAGGGG
This is an unclassified non-coding RNA of Microcebus murinus (gray mouse lemur), 103 nucleotides long. Lineage: Eukaryota; Metazoa; Chordata; Mammalia; Primates; Cheirogaleidae. The record is from Ensembl.